AGAUUGAACGCUGGCGGCAUGCCUUACACAUGCAAGUCGAACGGCAGCACGGGAGCAAUCCUGGUGGCGAGUGGCGAACGGGUGAGUAAUACAUCGGAACGUGCCCAAUCGUGGGGGAUAACGCAGCGAAAGCUGUGCUAAUACCGCAUAAGAUCUACGGAUGAAAGCAGGGGAUCGCAAGACCUUGCGCGAAUGGAGCGGCCGAUGGCAGAUUAGGUAGUUGGUGAGGUAAAGGCUCACCAAGCCUUCGAUCUGUAGCUGGUCUGAGAGGACGACCAGCCACACUGGGACUGAGACACGGCCCAGACUCCGUACGGGAGGCAGCAGUGGGGAAUUUUGGACUAAGUCGGGACGAAAGCCCGUAGACGUCCGUACGG
Molecule: ribosomal RNA, 377 nt
Filed under: uncultured soil bacterium
Lineage: Bacteria
Description: bacterial SSU rRNA
Rfam family: Bacterial small subunit ribosomal RNA
Source: RNAcentral